This 537-nucleotide ribosomal RNA is filed under the name uncultured Propionibacterium sp. RNAcentral's name for it is "bacterial SSU rRNA". It matches the Rfam family "Bacterial small subunit ribosomal RNA", at positions 40 to 542 of the family's 1533-position model. The record is from RNAcentral. Lineage: Bacteria; Bacillati; Actinomycetota; Actinomycetes; Propionibacteriales; Propionibacteriaceae.
CGGCGUGCCUAAUACAUGCAAGUCGAGCGGAGUCAUUCUACAGAAGCCUUCGGGUGGAAGUGGAAUGUACUCAGCGGCGGACGGGUGAGUAACACGUAGGUAACCUGCCCGUAAGACCGGGAUAACUGGUGGAAACAUCAGCUAAUACCGGAUGUGGUCUUCUCUUCUCCUGAAGAGAAGAAGAAAGGGAGGUCUUCGGGCUUCCGCUUACGGAUGGGCCUGCGGCGCAUUAGCUAGUUGGUGGGGUAACGGCUCACCAAGGCGACGAUGCGUAGCCGACCUGAGAGGGUGAUCGGCCACACUGGGACUGAGACACGGCCCAGACUCCUACGGGAGGCAGCAGUAGGGAAUCUUCCGCAAUGGACGCAAGUCUGACGGAGCAACGCCGCGUGAGUGAGGAAGGCCUUCGGGUCGUAAAGCUCUGUUGCCAGGGAAGAAUGGCUUAUAGUUAACUGCUAUGAGUUUGACGGUACCUGAGAAGAAAGCCCCGGCUAACUACGUGCCAGCAGCCGCGGUAAUACGUAAGGGGCAAGCGUU